GAUGUAUAUUAAUGAACUUCUAAUUCAGUCUUAAGUAAUUUAUUUUACUAUACUUCU
RNAcentral lists this transfer RNA (57 nucleotides) under Ectomomyrmex javanus. RNAcentral describes it as "tRNA-Ser". Lineage: Eukaryota; Metazoa; Arthropoda; Insecta; Hymenoptera; Formicidae. The record is from RNAcentral.